AAUCUGCUCAGGGAACAUGUUGUCCUCUCCUGUUUGCAGGGCCAUUUCUUGGACAAGCAGCAGCUCUGUUUGCUGGACUUUUGGCCCCAUGCAGUCACUGUGAGGCAAGGCACAUCUCACACAAACGGGCCAGUGAAAUGAGGAGAAAAGAAAAGGAGAAUGGAAUCCAAAACUCUGGAGGACAUUUCUGGCUGAAAAUUUGAAGGGCCAUGUUUUACAGUGAGGUUGGAGAUCAUUGGGGAUCUUCAUGGAAGAGCAUACAUUUGAGCUGAAGAUGUAAACAAGCAUAGUUUGAGCAUGGAAACAAGGAGGAUUCCAGCAAAGGAAACUCAAAAGAAUAGUGACAGAAAACAAAGGCAGUCAUUUGGUUCAGGUGCAAGUGACCAGGUAAAGGAUUUCAGGGCAUAAAUUUGGCAGAGCAAACCAUGGGAAGUUUGAAGGACCUGGAAUCUCAAACCUGGGAGUUUAUAAUCUCUUCUAUAGUUGCUUGGAAAGGAUGGACUAAUUUUGAUUGAGACUUGACCAGAACUGGGAUAUAAAAAGAUUCAUCUGGCAAAGUAUAGCAUGAAAUUAAGACAGAAAAAACAAGAGGUGGACCUAAACAUAAGACCUGAAUCUAUAAAAAUCCUAAAAGAAAACAUAGAGAAUACUCUUCUGGACAUUGGCCUUGGCAAAAAAAAAAAAAUUAUAACCAAGUUCUCAAAAGCAAACACAACAAAACCAAAAAUAGACAAAUGGGACUUAAUUAAAUGAAAGAGCUUCUGCACAGCAAAAGAAACAAUCAACAAAGUAAAUAGACAUUUCACAGAAUGGGAAAAAAUAUUUGCAAACUAUACACCCAGUGAAGGGCUAAUAUCCAGAAUCUACAAGGAAUUCAAACAAUUCGACAAGAAAAGAACAAAUAACUCUAUUAAAAAGUGGGCAAAGGACAUGAACAGACAUUUUCAAAACAAGACAUACAAGCGGCAAACCAGCAUAAGAAAACAUACUCAACAUCAUUAAUCAUCAGAGAAAUGCAAAUUAAAACCACAAUGAGAUACCAGCUUGCACCAGUCAGAAUGACUUAAUAAAAAGUCUAAAAACCACAGAUAUUAGCAAGCAUACAAAGAUCUACAAUGUUCCUGGUGUCAGGAUGCCCAUUAUGGAAGCUUACACUGUUGUGGGAGAAUUAAGUCUUGGCAUAACCCAAGGCACUGUUGUCAUUCAAUGGAAAAAUGGAAGCCAAAAAAGAAGAUUUGAUUUAAGAAUAACCAACCCUCUCAUUAUCCCGUUGUGCACUGUUAUGCCUUGUCUCUGGAAACCAAUAUAAUUUACUUCAUUUUGAUUUGUGUUCUGUCUUAUUCAGAAAGUGCUUCAGGUGACUUACAAGAAGAUAUAAAAAUUAAAACUCGAGAAGCUAUUACAGG
This 1406-nucleotide long non-coding RNA is filed under the name Homo sapiens (human). Its description in RNAcentral is "non-protein coding lnc-TNC-21:12". Lineage: Eukaryota; Metazoa; Chordata; Mammalia; Primates; Hominidae. The record is from RNAcentral.